GAUGAACGCUGGCGGCGUGCCUAAUACAUGCAAGUCGAGCGAACAGACGAGGAGCUUGCUCCUCUGACGCUAGCGGCGGACGGGUGAGUAACACGUGGAUAACCUACCUAUAAGACUGGGAUAACUUCGGGAAACCGGAGCUAAUACCGGAUAAUAUAUUGAACCGCAUGGUUCAAUAGUGAAAGACGGUCUUGCUGUCACUUAUAGAUGGAUCCGCGCCGCAUUAGCUAGUUGGUAAGGUAACGGCUUACCAAGGCAACGAUGCGUAGCCGACCUGAGAGGGUGAUCGGCCACACUGGAACUGAGACACGGUCCAGACUCCUACGGGAGGCAGCAGUAGGGAAUCUUCCGCAAUGGGCGAAAGCCUGACGGAGCAACGCCGCGUGAGUGAUGAAGGUCUUCGGAUCGUAAAACUCUGUUAUUAGGGAAGAACAAAUGUGUAAGUAACUAUGCACGUCUUGACGGUACCUAAUCAGAAAGCCACGGCUAACUACGUG
This 497-nucleotide ribosomal RNA is filed under the name uncultured bacterium. Its description in RNAcentral is "partial 16S ribosomal RNA". It matches the Rfam family "Bacterial small subunit ribosomal RNA", at positions 28 to 507 of the family's 1533-position model. The record is from RNAcentral.